AUUGAACGCUGGCGGCAGGCCUAACACAUGCAAGUCGAGCGGAGCGGCGGACGGGUGAGUAUUGUCUGGGAAAAUGCCUGAUGGAGGGGGAUAACUCCUGGAAACGGUAGCUAAUACCGCAUACUAUCAGAUUAGACUCGGUGGGGUUAGCUUGUUGGGGGGGUAAAGGCCUACCAAGGCGACGGUCCGUCUCUGGUCUGAGAGGAUGAUCAGUCACACUGGAACUGAGACACGGUCCAGACUCCUACGGGAGGCAGCAGUGGGGAAUAUUGGACAAUGGGCGAAAGCCUGAUCCAGCCAUGCCGCGUGUGUGAAGAAGGUCUUCGGAUUGUAAAGCACUUUAAGUUGGGAGGCGUGACCAACAGAAUAAGCACCGGCUAACUUCGUGCCAGCAGCCGCGGUAAUAG
Molecule: ribosomal RNA, 407 nt
Filed under: uncultured bacterium
Lineage: Bacteria
Description: partial 16S ribosomal RNA
Rfam family: Bacterial small subunit ribosomal RNA
Source: RNAcentral